GACGAACGCUGGCGGCGUGCCUAAUACAUGCAAGUAGAACGCUGAAGGAGGAGCUUGCUCUUCUGGAUGAGUUGCGAACGGGUGAGUAACGCGUAGGUAACCUGCCUGGUAGCGGGGGAUAACUAUUGGAAACGAUAGCUAAUACCGCAUAACAGUAGAUGUUGCAUGACAUUUGCUUAAAAGGUGCAAUUGCACCACUACCAGAUGGACCUGCGUUGUAUUAGCUAGUUGGUGGGGUAACGGCUCACCAAGGCGACGAUACAUAGCCGACCUAAGAGGGUGAUCGGCCACACUGGGACUGAGACACGGCCCAGACUCCUACGGGAGGCAGCAGUAGGGAAUCUUCGGCAAUGGACGGAAGUCUGACCGAGCAACGCCGCGUGAGUGAAGAAGGGUGUCGGAUCGUAAAGCUCUGUUGUAAGAGAAGAACGAGUGUGAGAGUGGAAAGUUCACACUGUGACGGUAGCUUACCAGAAAGGGACGGCUAACUACGUG
Molecule: ribosomal RNA, 495 nt
Filed under: uncultured bacterium
Lineage: Bacteria
Description: partial 16S ribosomal RNA
Rfam family: Bacterial small subunit ribosomal RNA
Source: RNAcentral